UCUUCCCCCCUCACUUUGUCAAUUAGACAUUUCUUGUCUUAGUUGGCCAUUCAGGUGGGGUAAAGUCAAUAUCCUUUUAAAACCCAACCAGAUUAUGUUUACCUGGUUUGGAUCCUGUCAGAGGAAACAUGU
This 132-nucleotide small nucleolar RNA is filed under the name Salvator merianae (Argentine black and white tegu). Its description in RNAcentral is "Small nucleolar RNA SNORA27 (ENSSMRG00000013128.1)". It matches the Rfam family "Small nucleolar RNA SNORA27". From Rfam's summary of the family: ACA27 is a member of the H/ACA class of snoRNA that guide the sites of modification of uridines to pseudouridines. The record is from Rfam by way of RNAcentral. Lineage: Eukaryota; Metazoa; Chordata; Lepidosauria; Squamata; Teiidae.